This 253-nucleotide ribosomal RNA is filed under the name uncultured bacterium. Its description in RNAcentral is "partial 16S ribosomal RNA". It matches the Rfam family "Bacterial small subunit ribosomal RNA", at positions 524 to 776 of the family's 1533-position model. The record is from RNAcentral.
UACGGGGGGGGCAAGCGUUGUUCGGAAUUACUGGGCGUAAAGGGUUCGUAGGUGGCCAACUAAGUCAGACGUGAAAUCCCUCAGCUCAACUGGGGAACUGCGUCUGAUACUGGUCGGCUUGAGUGCAGGAGAGGAACGCGGAAUUCCAGGUGUAGCGGUGAAAUGCGUAGAUAUCUGGAGGAACACCGGUGGCGAAGGCGGAUCUCUGGGCCUUACCUGACGCUGAGGCGCGAAAGCUAGGGGAGCAAACAGG